GUUGCAGUUCGCCGCCCGUGACGCAGUUGUACUGGUGAGCAAGCAUCCCAUAACGCAAACCUGGUAGUGUCUGUGGAUGAAGGUUGGAUGUCUGCCUGGUUGAUCGUUCCCGACUUCACCCGAUCGCGCAUCGAAUGAGCGAUUCAGAAGCGCAUCCGAUCCCGCAUUGAACCUGUGGGGUCGAGUAUCAGGCUCCCGUUUCUGACAUGUGGAUUGCACCUGCGUGGUUGUCCAGGCUGGAGGUUACGGGUGGCAUGUGCCCGCUGGGCGUCGAGACGGAACGGUUUCCAUCAUGGAAGAAGCACUGAACCUGCCCGCCCCGAGCAUGACCGUGUCCCAACUCAUAGAUGUGUUCGGGCGGAAGGGCUUGAGCCCCUCCCAAAUGGUAGUCCUAUCAGGUGCCCACACCAUCGGAAAAGCCCCGUGCGUCACAUUCGACGACCGCGUUCAGACAACCCCGGUGGACCCAACUCUGGCUCCCAGCUUCGCCACGUUCUUGAAGGGGCAGUGCCCGUAUGCAGCAAUCCAAUCCACCAGCGUGGACAUGGAUUCCACCGCGCACACAUUCGACAGCCAGUACUUCAAGGACAUCAUCGCCGGGAGAGGCCUGCUCACCUCGGACCAGAGCCUGUUGUACGACUCCCGCACCAGCGGGGGUGUGUACGCCAACAACGGCGCGGCAUUCUACCGCAACUUCGCCAAGGCGAUGGUGAAGAUGAGCCAGAUUGAGGUGCUCACAGGUUUGGACGGCGAAAUUCGGCGACAGUUUGACCAGGUGAACAGCCACUAGAAAGGAAAGGGGGCCCAGGAAACAAGGCCGCCCAGAUAUGGAGAGCAUCCGUGUAUCAUAGAGUAGAUUAGGACGAGUUCAUUGCACAUGGUGAGCGUCAACUGCCACGUGCUCAUUCUUUCCGGUGCACAGCAUCGGCAUGCUUUGCGUUGCUUGUCGUAAGCAAUUUACCGCACAUCGCAGUAAAUUGCUUACGAUUUAUACAAUUGAAGAGACGAUACCAAUAUAAUCAAGAUCCAAAACUUAAUUGAAUCCUUGAGCCAUAAGCCAUGCUUUGAAUUUGUCAAUUUCUUUUGUUGCUUUUGAGUUUAAUUUUAAACAUCCAUUUGCGUGUAAUUGGAUAAUAAUAAGAUAGUAGUUUUGUGAAGAUCUACGUACUAUUGGCCACAUAGGAUAUUAAUUCUUUGACAAUGGUAUGUUGCUAUUGAGAAGCUUCAAUAGAACCAAGAGUCCUAUUAUGUAUUUUUAAUUCAAAAAGAAUAUGGGUGAAUAAAAAUAAUAUAUUUUUUUUGUUACUAGAGAAAGUUUGGUUUGUUUUCAAGAGUAAAACAUUCAUGUUUUAUAGUUAAAAUAUAUAUAUAUAUAUAUAUCAUAACUUAAUAAUGCAUUUAUUUUUAUAUCACUAUUAUCAUAAAAAAUUAAAAAGAUUGUUAUUUAUUUUGAUAAAUAAUGAUAAUAAUGAAAAGAUAUCAAUUUAAAUAAUUUAUUAAUUAAAUAAAAUAGUAAAAAUAUUGACUUGGAGGCUUAAGCUUCCAAAACUUAAUCUUUUGACUAAAUGGUGCAAAAGAUAAAUUUUGAUCCAAUCUUAUUUUAUUACAUAUAUUAAUUUAAAAGAUUUGUAGUAUCAAUUUUUAGGUAAUGGUGAAUGUGAGAAUAAAAUUCAACACUCGAUUUGAACUUCAAGAUUGCCUUAAUUAAGAUUUUUUUUAGUUGGUGGUAUAUAAAGAAAAAAAAAAAAAACUGAAAAUAAAGAAGGAAAAAUACAUACAAGAAAAUAAAAUAAAAUCAAGCAAUUAUACUCUAAAAAUCAAAUUUUAGUCUCUUCAUCAAAUUUUUAUAUAAUUAGAUAAAAAAUUAAAAAGUAAAAAAUAUAUUUUUAGAUAAAUAAUUUUUUUUUCUACCUAUGAUAUAAAAAUAAUUCAAAUCUAAGUUAGUAUAAGUACAUUAAAGAUUUUAAUCAUUCAAGGUUGAAGAUUGAUGAUUUUGAUCAUUGCUUUAAUGAUUGUAAUGGAAAAUUGAUGGAAAAUUGGAAUAAUAGGAUCUACAAAUUUAACCCCUUUAUAUGUUUUUUACAUAGUUGCUAGUUUUAUAAAGAAAGAUUUAAUAGAAUGACCUAAUUGGAUCUUUUAUAACAAUAUAUAGAAAGAAUUCUUUAACAUUUGGAGUAUAAAAUUUCAUUCUUGAUCCAACAUUGAUAUAGUCAAUGUGGCUUUUUGUAAGUAAGAGAAGGUGUCAUAUUAUUCUUUUGAUUUAAAGAAAAAUUAUGAAUUAUUUGUUUUGAAUAAUGAGCAAGUUUAUGAGGUUGGAAUUUAUUAUUUUUUAAACAUAUAUGUUAUAUAAAUUAUAAAAAAAAUUUGGUUGUGUGGUUUGUUUGUCACUAAAUUGUACAUUACAACUCAAAGUCAUAAAUUUUCAAAUUAUGGUAUCUAAACUCUAUAGUUAGACUUUGAUAUUUGAUGAAAUCAAGUUUAGGAUUUAGAAUUCAUCAUCUUGUUUUCCAACACAUCAUUUUCUUGUCUUAUCUCAGUUUUAAAUGAUUCUAAUUUAAUAUCAUUGAAAGUCUUAUUUAUAACUUAAUCAUGUAAGGUUUGUAUAGCUAAAGAUAUUAUAUUACUUAUAAAAAAUAGGAAAAAAUGGCUAAAAUUAUUUUAAAGUUUAAUGUUGAUAGAAUUUAAUAUGUCAAUGUUGUAAAUGCAUAAAAGUAGGUAUAGGUUCUUUUAUCUUUUUAUGCAUACAAUCAUUUUUCUUAUCAAUAAUUUCUACUUUUAAGAAAGUAUGAAUGAUUCUUUCUAAGUACUUAAGUCUCUUAUUUUGUAUAUCUAAAAUUAUAAAAUGCAUAACAAAAGUUUGGAUAAAAUAUUAUUUUGUGGUAUCUUGAUUUAAAAAGAUAUCAAUAUAUUGGAUACAUAAUACAUAAAAUCACUUCACAUAAGAAAUGAUAUCUUCUAAGAGACCUUAUUUAAUAUUUAUCAAAGUUAAAAGAGCUUAUUUUUGGCCAAUUACAUAUUUAAAUAUACAAAAGAAGGUUGCUAGAUAUUGUUUCAAUGUAGUAAAUGAUUCCUCUAUAUGAAUGUAUACCGUACAUAUGCAAAAUAUGUUAAAGUUAUUCAUAACCAUAUUCAAUAAUAUCCAUGGUUGAUUACUAAAUAAAUAAUUAGUAAUUUUAUAUUUUAUUCUAUAUGAGUUAAUAGGUCUUUAUUUAUAGAUCCAUUAAAACUUUGAAGAUUAAAAAGAAUUGAAGCCUCUUAUAAUUUCAAAGGCACAAUAUUAGAUAGUUCUUUAGGCAACAUCAUUAAAUCAAUUAAAUAUUUUUUGGAAGAUUUUGAUUACUUAUAUUAGCCUUUAUAGUUGAUGAAGGUGAGAGAUCUAUUUGAGAUUUUAGGAUCUUUUAUUAAUCUUAAAAUAGCAAAAUCAUCUAUUAUUUAGACUUUAUUUUAUAAUAAGAAAUUUUAAAAAAAAUUAAUAAAAUUAUAAGUAGUUUUUUAAAUUGUAAUACAUAGAUAUCACAAAAUAUAAAUAGGGUGAAUAAGAAAGUAACUUGUAGAGCAACCUAUAAUAAUUAAUUAUGUUUUGUGAAUUUCAUCACUUUCUACAAAUAUGGAUUCAAUAACAAAAAGAAGACAUGUUAGGCAUUAAUUCAACUUCACUUUUCAAAAAUGUCAAAAAAUUGAAGUACUUAUGAUCAACACAAUCAAGAUAUCUUAUCUAAAAAAGUAGAGUGGAGAAUUUUUUGAUAUAUAUAAUUACAUAUAUUUAAUAUUUAAUGAUACUACAAAGUAAUGAAAUAACCAAGCAAUUAUUUAAAGGACAAAAAAAUCUAAUUGUGUAUUUUUUUUAAGUAUAUUUGAAAUUUUAAAUGAAGAAAAAGAGUUAGCUAAAACUUGAAAACCAAUUAAUCUUGUUAUGCCAUAUUCUUUUCCUUAAUUUUGUCUAAAAUUUGAAAUUUAUUUGAAGAACUAUGCUUUGGAAUCUACUUUUUUUUUAAAGCCAUACUUCUUCUUUACUUUUGUCUAAAAUUUCAAUUUUUAGACUCACAAGUUAAGACAUAAUACUUACUAAGGUUGUUCUUUUGUAAUUUAAUGUUGUAGUUUAAGUCCACUUCUUAUUGUUUUUAAAAAAGCAAGCAAUUUAUCAAUACAAUCAAAUAAUAGCAAAACUAAUAAUAUACUAGUCAUACACUAAUUAAAAUCAAUAACAUUUAUAAAAAGUAAUUACUUAAGUACCACAAAUAGAUAAAAAUUAUUAUUCAUAUAAAAAGUAAAAAUAGUCAUUAAAAGAAAGAAAAAAAAAUAAAAAUAAAAGAUAUAUAUAAAAAAUAAAAACAUAAAAUAAGUAAUAGUAAAAUUUAAAAAAACAUAAAAUAAAUAAUAGUAAACUUAAAAAAAUAUAUAAAAAAAUAAAUAAACAAAAAAACAACAUUAAAAUUUGAAUUAAUUUUUAAACUAUAAUUUAUCUAAAACUAAAAAUAUAAGACUAAAAAUAUAAUUAACAAGGUAAUGAUGGAUGAUGUAUAAUUGACUACAUCCAAAGCAAAGUUUGCAUUUAAAUGACUUAUAAUAUCGCAGACCAAGACUUUAAGUGCUUCUAGAUAUUUAAUUAGACUUUUAUGGCAUUCUUGGAAUAUAAGUUUUGUACUACUAUUCAAACAUGUAUACACUCUCAAAUUAGUUUGAUAUUAAAUAUAUACACUAUUUACUAUUUGAAAUUUAUUUGAAGUUUAUUUAUUUACAAAGAAGCAAAAAUUCUUUUAAGAUUCAAAAAUUCAAGUUCAACUUGAUUACAUCACACAAAAAAAUUGACCAUGACACAUACACGCCACAAUGCUACUUUCAAGAAUUUUCAUACAAAUCUCAUAUGUAUUUUCAAAUCAAAUUGAAGAUUAAAGCAAACUAAAUUCAAAUGCUAAGUUAAAACCUUUGCACUUACAAAGAAAGUAAUAAACAGAAGUAAAUAAAUUUUCACAUAGUUUUCGUCUUUCAAAUCCAACACAUUUGUACAAAAGCUUUGAUAUAAAUACCUCAAUGUUGGCAAUGUAAAAGUUUGUAUAAAUUAUGCAUUUUAUUACUUAUUACAAAAACAAUUCCAUAUUUGAAAUAAUCACACUGUGCAUAUCACGUCCAUCCUUUCUUGGGGCCUCAACAUAAACUCUUUAUAUACAAUUGUUUCAUAGUAAUUUUGUCCUGCUGCAGCUUUCAAGAUUGACUACCUCAUUGUGCUUUAUGAUGAAAGAUGCAAAUAUUCUUGUAAGGUUCAAAGUUUCAAACUCAAUUUCACUACGGCACGCGCAUGUUUUGACCAGGACACAUACACGCCACCUGGUAACGCUACUUUCAUGAAUUUCCAUACGUAUCUCACGUGCAUGAUAGAAUCGAAUCGAGGAAUAGAAUAACUGAACUCAACUGCUGGGGGAAAUCCACCGCACUCAUAAAGUGCAACAAAGUGAACGUCAUGCUCAACAAAGCACGAUGGGAUCCAUGCGGGAAGCACCACGGAUUACAUCAACAAAGUUUCCCGGAAACAUCACGCUUCCCCACCCCUGCUUCACAGGAUCUAUCUCAACCGUAUUUGAAUGAACUUGGGGAAUUGGAAACACACUACAAAGAAUAGAAGCAACCUUCAAAAAAUAAUACCCACAAAUAUGAACAGACAAUUCGGCCGCCAAGGAUGACGGGUACCGGUUGGUGAGUCAACAGUUGCCAGCUGCACGGAGACCGAAUCACUGCUCACUUCCAGGGGCGGAUGUUGCAAGGUCACCCAACUCCAAUACCAGGCUCGAUCACUCAUCCAUGGUGACCGGUCCCGCCAUAUUGCCCAAGUCCAGCUGCUGUUGUCAACUGUUUCGUUUCGCUAGAGCCUCCAUCUUGCGUGGGUUAGAUUUGUAAGCAUGUGCGCUGAUGUUGUGCUGGCGACCGGCUCUCUCCGUCCCACGGUCAAUACUGUCCCCUCUUCAGACUUGAGCCCACUCCGAAAAGUCUUGGAACGCCACGAGGGGUUUCUGUGGUCCGUACACGUUCGACGGCCCGUACUGUUCUCGACGUCAACUCGGAUAUAGGACACUCCCAGUCUUCCUCGUGUCGUUGCGGUCUUGUGCAGUGCCACUCGUAUCCGGACGCGCAAAGCUUCAUCAGCCAAGGCGACUCUCAUCUUCUUUCCCUGCAUCUUCGUACUCAAACUUGCGACUUGCCCAGUUCCUGAACACCACAUACAAAUACGUUUCAGAGGCAGUGCCAGUCUCACCACAACUCGCGCUGCUCCCAAUCGAUCGACCUCGACCUCGACCUCGACCUGCAUCUGGAUCAGCGGUCUUGUAUCCAUUCGUCUACUGAUCAUCCGCGAUUCCUGGCGCUUUUGCAGGACGCUGAACCACGUCCAUAUUGGAUGAGAUCCAAGUGCGACGCAGAGCGCCCACCCAAAUCCAGUUUCGAGCUCCGGCGCGUCCCACUCCAAGACUAGCGCCUCGUAACCACAAAUAUAUUUCAGGUGCAGGUGCUACAGAUAUUUCCACCACCUACUAGCACAUCGGUGAACCGAAUCUUACCAGUACGAUGGGGAGGUGGCCCUCACCGGCGUUACUGGCGAUCUUCGUAACCAUCGCCCUUGCCAUGAAUUCAAUCACCCCGGCUGCCGCUCACACUGGACUCAAGGUAGGGUUCUAUCGUCACAGCUGUCCCCAAGUGGAGGCCAUCGUCUACAACUCUAUGGCUCAAUCCACCAAGGCCGACGACACCGUUGCACCUGGAAUCCUUCGGAUGGCGUUCCACGAUUGCUUCGUCCGGGUACGUGAUCGUCUUGAUUUGCAGCACCCCAGCCAGCUGGAUCGAGUCNNNNNNNNNNNNNNNNNNNNNNNNNNNNNNNNNNNNNNNNNNNNNNNNNNNNNNNNNNNNNNNNNNNNNNNNNNNNNNNNNNNNNNNNNNNNNNNNNNNNUGACGCCAUCGACGCCGCAAAAAGAGCUGUGGAGAACGCUUGCCCGGGCGUAGUCUCAGCCGCCGAUGUGUUGCAGUUCGCCGCCCGUGACGCAGUUGUACUGGUGAGCAAGCAUCCCAUAACGCAAACCUGGUAGUGUCUGUGGAUGAAGGUUGGAUGUCUGCCUGGUUGAUCGUUCCCGACUUCACCCGAUCGCGCAUCGAAUGAGCGAUUCAGAAGCGCAUCCGAUCCCGCAUUGAACCUGUGGGGUCGAGUAUCAGGCUCCCGUUUCUGACAUGUGGAUUGCACCUGCGUGGUUGUCCAGGCUGGAGGUUACGGGUGGCAUGUGCCCGCUGGGCGUCGAGACGGAACGGUUUCCAUCAUGGAAGAAGCACUGAAC
RNAcentral lists this long non-coding RNA (7313 nucleotides) under Physcomitrium patens. RNAcentral describes it as "long non-coding RNA (PPAT_LNC014442)". The record is from RNAcentral. Lineage: Eukaryota; Viridiplantae; Streptophyta; Bryopsida; Funariales; Funariaceae.